This is a non-coding RNA of Schistosoma haematobium, 45 nucleotides long. The record is from Rfam. Lineage: Eukaryota; Metazoa; Platyhelminthes; Trematoda; Strigeidida; Schistosomatidae.
AUCAUGCUGACGAACCCCAAAUAGGACGAAACGCGCGUCGUGGAU